UACGUAGGGUGCAAGCGUUGUCCGGAAUUAUUGGGCGUAAAGAGCUCGUAGGCGGUUUGUCGCGUCUGCUGUGAAAACUCGGGGCUUAACUCCGGGCCUGCAGUGGGUACGGGCAGACUAGAGUGCGGUAGGGGAGACUGGAAUUCCUGGUGUAGCGGUGAAAUGCGCAGAUAUCAGGAGGAACACCGGUGGCGAAGGCGGGUCUCUGGGCCGUAACUGACGCUGAGGAGCGAAAGCGUAGGGAGCAAACAGG
RNAcentral lists this ribosomal RNA (253 nucleotides) under uncultured bacterium. Its description in RNAcentral is "partial 16S ribosomal RNA". It matches the Rfam family "Bacterial small subunit ribosomal RNA", at positions 524 to 776 of the family's 1533-position model. The record is from RNAcentral.